UAGGGAAUCUUCGGCAAUGGACGAAAGUCUGACCGAGCAACGCCGCGUGAGUGAAGAAGGUUUUCGGAUCGUAAAACUCUGUUGUUAGAGAAGAACAAGGACGUUAGUAACUGAACGUCCCCUGACGGUAUCUAACUAGAAAGCCACGGCUAACUACGUGCCAGCAGCCGCGGUAAUACGUAGGUGGCAAGCGUUGUCCGGAUUUAUUGGGCGUAAAGCGAGCGCAGGCGGUUUCUUAAGUCUGAUGUGAAAGCCCCCGGCUCAACCGGGGAGGGUCAUUGGAAACUGGGAGACUUGAGUGCAGAAGAGGAGAGUGGAAUUCCACGUGUAGCGGUGAAAUGCGUAGAUAUAUGGAGGAACACCAGUGGCGAAGGCGGCUCUCUGGUCUGUAACUGACGCUGAGGCUCGAAAGCGUGGGGAGCAAACAGG
This 429-nucleotide ribosomal RNA is filed under the name Gemmatimonadota bacterium. RNAcentral's name for it is "Gemmatimonadetes bacterium partial 16S ribosomal RNA". It matches the Rfam family "Bacterial small subunit ribosomal RNA", at positions 355 to 776 of the family's 1533-position model. The record is from RNAcentral. Lineage: Bacteria; Pseudomonadati; Gemmatimonadota.